UUUUUUUUUUUUUUAAAGCAAUUUAUUGGAUUUUACAAUAGGAAUAAAUGUAAUAAACAAUAUAACAUUCGUCUUAACAUUAUUUCACAUUUUCUUUGGACUUCCUCACAUCUCCCGCUCCCACCUUCAUCAUUAUAACAUUUUGUCAGCAAUUUAUCAUCUUAUUUAAGUUCUUAUAUCUCUUCGAUAUUUCAUAAUCUUAAAGUUCUCAUAAAGAGUUAAACUUUCACAGUUUUUCUUAUUUUCUUAAAAACUUCUAAGUUAAGUGGUGCUCAGUUAUUUAGUCUAGCAUCUUAUUCAGCAUUCAGUCAAAUCACAAUGCUUUUGUAGAUAGUUCUUAAAUUUCUUCCAAUCCUCCUCGAUUCUCUCUUCUCCCAGGUCACGGAUUCUGCCAGUCAUUUCAGCCAGUUGCAUAUAGUCUAUCAGUUGCAUCUGCCAUUCUUCCAGUGUGGGUAGAUCUUGAGUUUUCCAAUGUUUUGCGAGUAGUAUCCUUGCUGCUGUUGUUGCAUACAUAAAAAAUGUCUGGUCCUUCUUUGCCACCCCUUGGCUGACAAUACCCAAAAGGAAAGCCUCUGGUUUCUUAGUGAAAGUAUAUUUAAAUACCUUUUUCAAUUCAUUAUAAAUCAUUUCCCAGAACGCCUUCACUUUAGGGCAGGUCCACCAGAGGUGAAAGAACGUUCCUUCACACUCUUUACAUUUCCAGCACUUGUUAUCAGACAGGUGGUAAAUUUUUGCGAGUUUGACUGGGGUCAUAUACCAUCUAUAAAUCAUUUUCAUUACAUUUUCUUUCAAAGCAUUACAUGCAGUGAAUUUCAAUCCAUUACUCCACAGCCUUUCCCAGUCCUCAAACAUAAUGUUAUGCCCAAUAUCCUGUGCCCACCUUAUCAUAGCCGAUUUAACCAUUUCAUCUUGUGUAUUCCAUUCCAACAGCAAGUUAUACAUCCUUGAAAGUAUCUUAGUCUUUGGUUCUAACAAUUCUGUUUCUAAUUUCGAUUUCUCCACCUGGAACCCUAGUUUCUUAUCAUUUUUAAAAACUUCUUUAAUCUGAGCAUAAUGUAACCAAUCUCGCACUUUGUCUUUCAUUUUCUCCAAACUCUGCAAUUUCCAAUUGUCUCCAUCUUCUCUAGUAUUUCCCAAUAUUUUGGCCAUUUGGCCUCCAUAUUGGGUCUUUUUCGGGCCUUAGCUUCCAAAGGUGAAAGCCACCUUGGUGUUUUAUUUUCCAGCAAGUCUUUAUAUUUUGUCCAGACAUUAAACAGUGAUUUUCUAACAAUAUGGUUCUUAAAGGCCUUAUUUGCUUUAACUUUGUCAUACCAUAAAUAUGCAUGCCAUCCAAAAACAUUGUUAAACCCUUCCAAAUCCAACACAUCAGUGUUUUCAAGAAGUAGCCAAUCUUUUAGCCAGCAGAACGCUGCGGCUUCGUAAUACAACUUUAAGUCCGGCAGGGCAAAGCCCCCUCUUUGUUUUGCAUCAGUUAGUAUCUUAAACUUAAUUCUGGGCUUUUGCCCUGCCAGACAAACUUCGAAAUGUCUCUCUGCCACUUCUGAAAGCACUCCAUUUUGUCCAAAACCUGAAGUGUUUGAAAUAAAAACAACAUUCUUGGCAAUACAUUCAUCUUAAUCGCAGCAAUUCGGCCUAACAAAGAAAGUUUCAAUUUUGACCAACUGUCUAAGUCUCUCUUAAUUUCUGUCCAACAUUUUUCAUAGUUAUCCUUAAAUAGACUUAGAUUUUUGCUGUUAUGUUUACCCCUAGGGAGUUUACUUUUUUAACCACAUUAAGUUCCGUCUCGUUCUGAAACUGUUCUGACUCUGUCUCAGUCAAAUUUUUCCCAAAACCUUGGUUUUCUGUUUAUUUAAUUUAAAUCCCGCCACCCGACCAAAGUCAUUAAUCAGUUGUAAUACUCUUUUCGUACUAGGCUCUGGCUUCUGCAAGGUCAAAACCAGGUCAUCUGCAAAAGCUUUUAGUUUAUAUUGUUUCUGACCAACCUGAAUUCCUUCCACCAACUGGUCCCCUCUAAUCAUGUUCAAUAGCACUUCCAGAACCGAAAUAAAUAACAAAGGGGAGAUAGGGCAGCCUUGUCGUGUCCCUUUUUCAAUUUUGAACUCUUCUGUAACCACAUUAUUAACUAUCAGUUUAGCUUUCUGUUCUGAAUAUAUCGCCUCAAUCCCAUUCUCGAAACCCCGUCCCACUCCCAUCUCUUUUAAGUUUCCCAUCAUAAAUUUCCAAGAAAUAUUAUCAAAGGCCUUCUCCGCAUCUAUAAAAAUUAAAACUGCUUUUGUAUUUAUGUCAGUUUGGAGAAGUUCCAAAAUAUCAAUAAUGUUCCUUGUGUUAGCAAACAGAUGUCUACCUGGGAGAAAACCGGCCUGGUCCUUAUGAAUUACUUCAUUUAAAACUUUUUAAAUCUACUUGCCAAAAUAUCUGCAAAUAUUUUGUAAUCCACAUUUAAAAGGGAGAUGGGACGGUAGUUCUUCAGUUGUGUCUUUUCAGCUUCUGACUUUGGUAUCAAUGUGAUAAACGCUUCCUUCCACGAAUCGGGUGCCCUCUUCCCCUCCAUAAUUUCAUUGCUAACCUCCAUCAAGGGUUGUAUCAAAUAGUCUUUUAGUGUCUUAUAAUACUUGGAGGUCAGCCCGUCUGGCCCUGGAGAUUUGCCGAGUUGCAUGUUCUGAAUAGCUUGUUCAAUCUCCUGUCGUGUUAUUUUAGAGUUCAGGGUUGUCCUAUUUUCUUGUGACAGUUUAGAUAAUCCAUUUUUGCCAAAAAUUGUUUAAUCUCAACUUCGUCUUGCGGCCCUUGGGUAUAUAGUUUUUUAAAAUAUCUCUGGAAACACUUUCUAAUGUCCACUGGAUUCUGGAUGUUUCUUCCAUCGACCUCUAAAUUUGUAACCGUAUUUAAUCUUUGUCUUCUCUUCAACUGCCAAGAUAGCAGUUUUCCACAUUUAUUCGCCGACUCAAACGUUUUUGUUUCAUUAAUUUAAUCUUCCAUUCAAUUUCCUGAUUUAUCAAUUUAGAAUAUUGUGUUUGAUACAGUUUAAUUUCUCUCAGAGUUGGCUGUGACUUUGGAUUCACUCUUAAUUUCUUCUCUAAUUCUUUUAUUUUAUCCAAAAUCUUGUCUUUUUUCUCAUUUUGUGUUUUUUUCUUUACUACAUUCUGUUGUAUCAGGAAUCCCCUCAUGACAGCUUUGCUUGCGUCCCAGACGAUUCUUUUUCCACCGAAUUGUUCAUGUUUAUCUCGAAAUAGUCUUUCAAAACUUUUUGGGCCUUCUUGGUAAUUUCCUGAUCUCUAAACAAAUUGUCAUUCAUCUUCCAUCUAAAGGAUCCAGUUGGUAGUAGUGUCAUAUCCAUCUUUACUGCGUUGUGGUCAGAGCAGGUCUUUGGGCAGAUUUCCACUUUUCUAACCCUAGGUGCCAGGCCUCUAGAGAUCCAUAUUUGGUCGAUUCUUGUCCAGGUCAGUUGGGCUUCAGAAAAGAAUGUUCCUUCUCUACCUAGUGGGUUCUUUGUUCUCCAAAUGUCAAUCAAGUCCAUAUUGUCAGUCAUUUCAAAAAGGUUUUAGGUAGUCUGCCAUCUUUUGUGACAUUUUGACUUUGCGACUUGUCCAUGUUAGUUGACACGACCCCGUUCAUGUCUCCCAUCAUUAUGAUGUUGUUGUAAUCCAGAUGAUCCAGCAUUGUCCCCUGCAACUUCUUGUAAAAUUCCGAUUUCCCUUCAUUGGGCGCAUAGAUUCCUAAUAUCAGCAGUUUCUCUCCUUGAUAUUGUAUCUCAAUAGCCAAAAUCCUUCCAUGUUCAUCUUUAAAUAGAAAUUUAGGUGACAGGCUCUCUUUUGCAUAUAUCACCACUCCUCUCUUCUUCACUUUGUCCGACGAAAUAAAUUCCUGGCCCAAUCUUUUAUUUAUUAACACUUUUCUGUGGAGCCUCGUCACAUGUGUUUCUUGUAAACAAAUAAUGUCCAAUUGUUCUUGUUUUAAUAUAUGAAAUAUUUUCUUCCUUUUCUCCGGAAUAUUGCAACCAUUAAUGUUCCAGCUCAACAGUUGCAGAGACAUCCUGGAUCUGUCUGGUUAUUUCUCCCGGGGUGGUGUCUUCUCUGGGUCUUCAAGCUCCCCAGGUGGAGGUAUUGACGCUGGCUUUGCCCCAGGCCCGGAAGGUAGUUCAAUUCCUUUAUGUAGGUCCUCUCCGUAUGUAGCCAGAAAUUUAUCUCUCUCUUCCAAUGUUCUAAUUUUGACCUUUCUCGCUCUAAAGGUAAAAGAUAAUCCUUGGGGAAAUUCCCACCUGAAUGGAAUUGCGUUGCUCCUUAGUAGUUUAGCAAGUUCAGAGUAGGCGGCUCUAAGGUCCAACAGUUGUCUUGGGAUAUCUUUAUAUAUCUCAAUUCUUCUAUCCAAAACCUCCAGUGACUUUUCGUAAUGUAGACCCAAAAUCUUAUCCCUUUCCUCCUUCGAUCUCAAUGUAAUCAAACAAUCCCUGGGCCUCUCCUUCUUUAUAAAUCUUCCAAGUCUGAAAGCUGACACAAUUUUAAAGUCCUUUUCUUCCAAAUUCCAGAACUUGGAAAGUUCUUUGGUCAAAAACUCAGUUAGAUUUCCUUCUUCUGCCUCUUGUAAUGAUCUAAUCCUCAAAUUGUUCUCACGAUUUCGCAGUUCUAUCAUAGAAAGAUAAGUCUGAUGUUCCCCAACUUGUUUAGUGAGUGGUCUUACCUCUUGCUCUAAAUUUUCCAAUUUUUGUCUGGUAUCCUCAGCCAAUUUUCGAUUUUCUACUGAGGCCUCCGUCAACUGUCCAAUUGCUUGUGUAUUCUGUCCCACCUGUGUAGUUAAUUUGUUUAGACAGUCUGUAUUUUUAUCAAUCUUUGCUGAUUGCGCAUCUACUUUCUUGUCCAAAGCUUCCAAUUUUUCAAAGAUUUUUUCUAGCACAGAAACAGAUGAUCCUGAGGCCAUAUCUUCCAAUUGUAACUGCUCUGCUUCACCCUCUCCCUCUUUUGCCUGUGGCAAGUCAGCUUCUUCAAGUUGUACUUCUGAGGGCAAAGUAGGCACAGAUGAUCUACGUGUCUGCGAGGCUGAGGUUAGAUUUGUUAGAGUUGUUUGUCUAACUCUUCCUCUUCUUCUUGUACCACUCAUUCCAAUGUUAUCUAUAAGUCAAGGUCACACUGAGUUUUUCCCACAGGAAUAGAGAGGCCCAGAGCAAGCAAACAACAAGGGAAUCGAAAGUAAAUGUAUUUGUAAAGUCACUGUUUUAAUCCAAUCCUCUAGAGGGAGCUUAAGAUGUCUUUCAGAGUCUGAUUUAAUGUCCCAGAACCUUCCAAUAUAAGUAUUAAGCAGAGUUUAAAAGUAAUCACUUUGUUGCAGACAGUGCUUAUUUGUCUCCAAAAAGAAUGUUUCAAAUUUAAAAGGUCUCAAUACCCUCAGAUUGUUGCAACUUCUAAUAUACAGUAUCCAAAUCAACACUGACAGCUCGCUCUUACAGUGCUCAAGCAAUCCUGACUCUGGGUUUCACCUUCCAAUUUGUAAUCCAAUAAAAGGGGGAAAGUCAAGUACAAAUAAAAGAUCCAAAUCUUUAACUUACUAGUUUUACUUUAAAUUGUAAGUUCCAUAGAUGCUUGACUGUGUAGAGUUUAAAGUCUCUUUCUUUCAGCCUCCACUCCUCCGCCUUAGUUGCUUUUUUCCAAGUUCAAUGGCAGCGGAAGACGGACUUCCUGUUUCCACGUCUCUCCGCUUUCAGCCAAAUUCAAGCCAAAUUUAACCUUCUCAUUUAAAAUUUGUAAUUCCAAGUGAUUCAGUCUUUACUCACGAGUAAGUUGUUUUCUUCCAGGUCCGAAUUUUAACAGGAAAAGGGAUCAGCGCUCACCGGCAGCAGCAGCGCGGCUUCACUCCGCUGACUGUGAAACGGCUCACAGCGCCGCAACCCCCCUCCACGCUCCGGAGCCCCUUACGAGGCUCCUUCUGCAGUUGGAGGGCUGCUCUUGGCGCCCGCCGAGCCUCAGGACCCCAGGCUCUUGCUGCCUGGGGUUUUCCUCGUUGGGUCUCCGCUUCGCCGUAGCGGACGACCCGAUUUCAGCGGAGCCUCUUCUCCCGUCGGGAGAAGACCGCCAUUGCCGUUCGCGCCGCCCCCCGGAAGU
RNAcentral lists this long non-coding RNA (6089 nucleotides) under Podarcis lilfordi (Lilford's wall lizard). Lineage: Eukaryota; Metazoa; Chordata; Lepidosauria; Squamata; Lacertidae. The record is from RNAcentral.